GAUGAACGCUGGCGGCGUGCCUAAUACAUGCAAGUCGAGCGGACAGACGAGGAGCUUGCUCCUCUGACGUUAGCGGCGGACGGGUGAGUAACACGUGGAUAACCUACCUAUAAGACUGGGAUAACUUCGGGAAACCGGAGCUAAUACCGGAUAAUAUAUUGAACCGCAUGGUUCAAUAGUGAAAGACGGUUUUGCUGUCACUUAUAGAUGGAUCCGCGCCGCAUUAGCUGGUUGGUAAGGUAACGGCUUACCAAGGCAACGAUGCGUAGCCGACCUGAGAGAGUGAUCGGCCACACUGGAGCUGAGACACGGACCAGACUCCUACGGGAGGCAGCAGUAGGGAAUGUUCCGCAAUGGGCGAAAGCAUGACGGAGCAACGCCGCGUGAGUGAUGAAGGUCUUCGGAUCGUAAAACUCUGUUAUUAGGGAAGAACAAAUGUGUAAGGAGCUGUGCACGUAUUGACGGUACCUAAUCAGAAAGCCACGGCUAACUACGUG
Molecule: ribosomal RNA, 497 nt
Filed under: uncultured bacterium
Lineage: Bacteria
Description: partial 16S ribosomal RNA
Rfam family: Bacterial small subunit ribosomal RNA
Source: RNAcentral